UACGUAGGGACCGAGCGUUGUCCGGAAUCAUUGGGCGUAAAGAGCGUGUAGGCGGCCUUUUAAGUCCUGCGUGAAAUCCUGCGGCUCAACCGCAGACGGUCGUGGGAAACUGGAAGGCUAGAGUGCGGGAGAGGAGAGUGGAAUUCCCGGUGUAGCGGUGAAAUGCGCAGAUAUCGGGAAGAACACCGGUGGCGAAGGCGGCGACCUGGUCCUUGUACUGACGCUGAGGCGCGAAAGCGUGGGGAGCAAACAGG
RNAcentral lists this ribosomal RNA (254 nucleotides) under uncultured bacterium. Its description in RNAcentral is "partial 16S ribosomal RNA". It matches the Rfam family "Bacterial small subunit ribosomal RNA", at positions 524 to 776 of the family's 1533-position model. The record is from RNAcentral.